CUACGGGUGGCACCAGUAAGGAAUAUUGCGCAAUGGAGGCAACUCUGACGCAGCCAUGCCGCGUGCAGGAAGAAGGCCUUAUGGGUCGUAAACUGCUUUUAUUUAGGAAUAAACCCCCGAACGUGUUCGGGGCUGAAGGUACUAAACGAAUAAGCACCGGCUAACUGCGUGCCAGCAGCUGCGGUAAUACGGAGGGUGCAAGCGUUAUCCGGAUUUAUUGGGUUUAAAGGGUGCGCAGGCGGGCUAUUAAGUCAGUGGUGAAAUCCCGGGGCUCAACUCCGGAACUGCCAUUGAUACUGAUAGUCUUGAGUUUGGUUGAAGUGGGCGGAAUGUAGCAUGUAGCGGUGAAAUGCAUAGAUAUGCUACAGAACACCAAUCGCGAAGGCAGCUCACUAAGCCAAAACUGACGCUCAUGCACGAAAGCGUGGGGAUCAAACAGGAUUAGAUACCCCCGUAGUC
RNAcentral lists this ribosomal RNA (459 nucleotides) under uncultured bacterium. Its description in RNAcentral is "partial 16S ribosomal RNA". It matches the Rfam family "Bacterial small subunit ribosomal RNA", at positions 339 to 795 of the family's 1533-position model. The record is from RNAcentral.